Long non-coding RNA from Dreissena polymorpha, 1369 nucleotides. RefSeq lists it as uncharacterized. The record is from RefSeq and is a predicted model, not a curated record. Lineage: Eukaryota; Metazoa; Mollusca; Bivalvia; Myida; Dreissenidae. The transcript is spliced from 9 exons.
CGUGCCUGUCCAUAUGGUUUGUUUUGGUAUUUUGUUGCAGAUAUUGAACACAACAGCUUUAAAUCUUAAAGGGACGUUUAAGCUUUAACAGGCCUUAAAUCGCCUUCUUCGGACCAAAAACACCCGCAUGUGAAAAUGUGAUCUAAAAUGGCCAAAUGGACAGAUAAUCCAGCCAAACUUAAUAUAUUGGUGCAAUAUAAAUAGGAAGAUAAUAAUAUGCAAGAAAAACACAUUUUAUUCAGAACAUAUUUUUCCUUUAGGUUACAAUAUACUAAAUCUUUUGGGAGUGCAAUGCUAUACACUUUAAAAACCUGAACAUCAUUUAUAAGAAGACACAAUUUUCUGUGUGGGCACUUGCCAUGACUUUAUUUUAGAAUGUUUCUUUGUGCAUGUGGUAGGGAAAACAUUGAUGUUUAACAGAAAUUCACUCAUUUGCUUGAAGGUUAAAGACUACAUGAGACUUUGACAGAUGGCGGGAAACCCUCAUCCACUGGUAGAGGAAUGUCUGCGACUAAGCCGAGGGCCACUGGACAAGGGUUGUUGAUGGCAAAACAGGUUAAAGACUACAUGAGACUUUGACAGAUGGCGGGAAACCCUCAUCCACUGGUACGAACCCGGUAGAGGAAUGUCUGCGACUAAGCCGAGGGCCACUGGACAAGGGUUGUUGAUGGCAAAACAGGUUAAAGACUACAUGAGACUUUGACAGAUGGCGGGAAACCCUCAUCCACUGGUACGAACCCGGUAAAUUGAUGGCUGUAAAACAGUGACCGCUGAUUCGCAUCGAGUUCUUUCUUGCAAAACGCAUGACCCCCCUUUUUUAUUGUCUAAAUCAUUGCGGCUUGGAAUGCUCUUUAAGAAAAGGUAGAGGAAUGUCUGCGACUAAGCCGAGGGCCACUGGACAAGGGUUGUUGAUGGCAAAACAGGUUAAAGACUACAUGAGACUUUGACAGAUGGCGGGAAACCCUCAUCCACUGGUACGAACCCGAAAAGCAUGGAUCUGUUUGAGGCCUUACGCGAGACCCAGGCCGUGGUUCAGGUGCCCAAGAACGAGAGAGCAGACCCAGCCGUCUAGGACGCCCUGUUCGAUGAGGCUGUCGACCUGGCAGCUUCCGUGGAAGUGAUGCCAUCAACGCCUCGCAGAACUAGCAAACAACAGCACAGGUACAACCACCCUGCCUCCUAUUCUAUGACAUAUUGGCGCAUAUCCUGUAAUACCAAUUCCUAGAUCACCUCGUGCAGGAAAUAAGUGACCGAAUACUGCGGAAUGAGGACCGGUAAUUGUUAAUACUUAUCUAGAUCACUGUAUUUUCGUAUAGAAAAUUCUCUACAUGUUUAGUGUGACGUACACUGAAAGAGCUAUUAAAGUUUG